ACCCGCUGAACUUAAGCAUAUCAAUAAGCGGAGGAAAAGAAACCAACAGGGAUUGCCUCAGUAACGGCGAGUGAAGCGGCAAGAGCUCAAAUUUGAAAGCUGGCCCCCUCGGGGUCCGCGUUGUAAUUUGCAGAGGAUGCUUCGGGUGCAGCCCCCGUCUAAGUGCCCUGGAACGGGCCGUCAUAGAGGGUGAGAAUCCCGUCUGGGACGGGGUGUCUGCGUCCGUGUGAAGCUCCUUCGACGAGUCGAGUUGUUUGGGAAUGCAGCUCUAAAUGGGUGGUAAAUUUCAUCUAAAGCUAAAUACUGGCCGGAGACCGAUAGCGCACAAGUAGAGUGAUCGAAAGAUGAAAAGCACUUUGAAAAGAGAGUUAAACAGCACGUGAAAUUGUUGAAAGGGAAGCGUUUGCGACCAGACUCGCCCGCGGGGUUCAGCCGGCAUUCGUGCCGGUGUACUUCCCCGUGGGCGGGCCAGCGUCGGUUUGGGCGGCCGGUCAAAGGCCCUCGGAAUGUAUCACCCCUCGGGGUGUCUUAUAGCCGAGGGUGCAAUGCGGCCUGCCCGGACCGAGGAACGCGCUUCGGCUCGGACGCUGGCGUAAUGGUCGUAAAUGACCCGUCUUGAAACACGG
This 626-nucleotide ribosomal RNA is filed under the name uncultured fungus. Its description in RNAcentral is "LSU rRNA". It matches the Rfam family "Eukaryotic large subunit ribosomal RNA", at positions 23 to 664 of the family's 3401-position model. Lineage: Eukaryota; Fungi. The record is from RNAcentral.